CGCCAAGGGGGCGACAAAGCCUCAAGUGAGCAUCGCAGGGAAGAGGGUGGGGGAGACCGAGAAGAGACAGCCGCCGCCGCCUCGGCAGUUCUCCCUUCCACUUCCGAGGGAGCGCACGCCACAACCGCCUCCUCAACUCCCCCGUAGCCCCGUCCGUCCCGCAGGCACCUCCGAGGGGGGGGGGAGGGGAGGGAAGACGGAGUCCAGUGCCCGCUGAGACCCCUUUCUCCCCACCGCCACCCCACCAAGUCCUCCGCGUUCUUCACUAAACCAACGCAGCGGAGCCCGGGCAGAAACUCGACGGAGAGGGCUGCGGUCCCUUCACCCUCAGAGGCAGCCUGACCCGGCGGGGAGAGAGCUCUCCCGGGGAUCCCGUCGAGGAGCAACAUCUGGGGAGGGCAGGAGAAGAGGAAGGCGGGGAUGGGGCUGGCAUGAAGGAGACCCCUGGCUCAUUGCUCUGCGGCUUCUACGGUUCUGAUAUUGUAGACUACAGAGGGUGAGGCUUGCCAAGCCUUGGCCCUGUUUAAAAGAGCGAAGACAUCUAUGCACAUUUUCUGCUUUUUGCUGCCCUGAGGCACCUGGGAAUAAGCAUCCUUUUAUGGGGGGGGGGGGGAAGGAUUAUCGGAUGCUUUCAGAGUGAACACAAGGAAGUUAUCGCGCGGGGAAGCGCCUGGCCGCUGCCUGUUAAAAGUUGUUUUUAAAAAUACGAAUAAAAUAAGGAAAGAACUAAGAAAGGUCGUCGGGGCGACCGCCGCCUGCUCAAGUGGGGCCCCGAAGCCCACACCUGUCCCGGGGCGGAGGCGCCCGCCCUCCCAGCCGUGGGGCCAGGACUCCGCCCCCCAAGUGGGGGAGGGAACGGCCAGCCGCCCUACAACACCCGUACCCCCCCCCCGCCCGCGCCGGGCCCUUGACGUGGAGCAGCAUGACUCCUUCGGCGGGCAAGAGGGCCGCCCGUCCUUCCCGCCAGAGCUGCUCCAGACCACUCUGCACGUGCUCACGUGCACCCGCCCCACCGCCGUCUAGAAAAACUCUCCCUCUCCGAGGGGACGGCACUCUGCCCCUGCUCAGAGGCACUCCCGCCUUGGCUCCGCAUGGGCCCGCCCGCACGAACGGCCCUCCCCUCCCCUGGAAAGCCUUUGGGGCUGACGCUUGUGGGGCGGGGAGUUGCAGGGUGCGGGGUGCGCCUGUCUCCGGCUUUUGUGCUUUGACGGGGCCAAGUUCUCACGUCCCAGGGACCCUCACACACGUGUCAUCUUUAAUGGCGUUAUGCAGCGUCAAGUUAGACACCCUCCUCUGGAGCUCAGGCGCAAAACACCGAAGGAGAGCAGCACACGGUACCGAGCCGAGGGGACGCAAAAUAAUGAUGAUGAUGAUAAUGAUUAUUUAUUGAUUUUAUAUACCGCCCUAUACCCAGAGGUCUCAGGGCGGUUCACAGAAAAGAUCAACAUACAAACCACAAUAUAUAUAAUCAAAAUAAAAACAACCCAAUAAUAUCCUCCCAAAAUCAGAAUGAAUGAAUGAAGUUUUUGUAAUGUAAUUUUCAGUGAGCCUAUUGAGAAGAUCCGUAAAAAAGCGGCUGUACCAAAAGGAAUUAUUGUGAAAAUAAUACAGUAUAUAUUUAGGGGACACUGGGCUACUCCGCAAGCGGGUUGUGAGGACUAUCCGGAGCAGGCAUGGGCCCUCCCAGGCAGAGCACAGUUCACAGACUCUGGAGUGCCUGUUUGGGGGCCGAGAGGAAUGUGGGGGGCAGCUGUAAGCCUCCCCUGGUCUUGCGCGGGGGGCGCCGCCGGCAUCCCAGCAACGGUGACGGGGAUGGGCGCCGCUGGGCGGCCACGGGCCACGCCCAGGCAGCCCCCUGGAGCCCCCUUGCCAGGGACCCGCAGAGUUGAGCGACUGGGGAGGGUGAGAGCCUGCUCCGCCGAACCCCCGAGGAUGGAGUGAGGCGCGUAGAGGAACGGAGAGAGAAGGCAGCUGUCCUUGGGGGCGUCGGCGAGGAAAGACGAAUGUAAGAACAUCAGAAAAGCCAACAGUGGCCAACCAGAUACCCUUAGGAAACCAGCAAGCAGGAUCCGAGCCCAGGAGCGAGGGCAGAGAUGAGCCUUCGUGGCUGGUGGCCCUCGAUAGGCCCGCUCCUCCUCCUCCAUGAAUUGAUACGAUCUUUUUGCCAAGCCGUCCAAGCUGGUGCCCCUCGCCUGCCUCCUGUGGCAGCGAGUUCCAUAGUUCAACUCUUGCGCAGCGUGAAGAAGGACUUUCUUUCUGUCCCGAAUCUUCCAACAUUCGGCUCCCGUUCGAGUUUCGUGAGAGAGGCAGGAAAAAACUUUCUCCAGGCUGUGCGUAAUAUUAUAAACUUUCCCCAUGUCUCAUUUUAUUUGCCUUUUCUCUAAACCAAACAGUCUCAAACACGCAACUUUCCCCCAUAGGGCCGUCGCUCCAGCGCCUUGAUCAUUUUGUGGCCCUUUCCUGAACAUUUACCAGCUCUACAAACAAUAUCCUGCGGUCGCCCCAUAGAGUUGAAUAAUAGCAUUAUGAUAUGGGCAGCUUUAUUGUCAAUAAUGAUUCUUAGCGCGGAGGUUGCCUUUUCCACAGCUGCCGCGCGCAGAAGGCGCAUCUUUAACCGUAUCUCCACUAGGACCGCAACGUCGCGAUCCUGGCCAGUCUCUGCCAGUUCAGACUCCAUAAACAUAUGUGACAUUAAGACUUUUCCAAUCCAGAAGAUUGGAAGACGGGACUUGUGAACAUCAAAGCAGCAGAAAUAUGAGAGAAUUGGACCCUUCUGAGCUCGAAGCAUGAGUACCCUCAACAAAAAUUUAAAAAAUUCGGCAAAAUAUUUGGACUUUAUGAUAUGUGUUGGCAUAAUUUGGAUUAAUGAUUGAGACAUGAUUGGAUUGUUAAAUGGAAAUUUAAUAAAAAUUAUUAUUAAAAAAAAGACUUUUCGCCCCCGUGUAUUGUAGACACUUGUCUACAAUGAAUUGCCUUUGUCAUUUUGCCGCCCAUUCGCUCCGUUUGGAGAGGUCUUUCUGUAGAGAUUCAUAAUCCCCCUUUGGUUACAACGAACCCUGAACAGUUUAGUGCCUCCAGCAAACGUGGCCACUUCGCCGCUCAUCUAUAACUCUAGGGUCGUUUAGAAAGCACAGGUCCCGAUCCUUGAGGGACUCCACUUUCUACAUCUCUCCAUUGGCGGCCGGAUCCAUUUCUCCCUGCUUCCAGAAACUUAGCCAACUCCUGAUCCGGAAGAGGCCCUCUCUUGCUCUUAGAAUCAUGGAAUUGAUUCAACCCCCUGCGACGCGGGAACCGCAGCGAAAGCAGCUCCUCUUAUUCCCUCACUGCUAAGCUUACACGGGAGUAGUUGGUGAGGUACUUUGUCGAAAGGCUCUUGAAAGCCAGCGGACGCUUUGAGAGCGGGGCCCUCAGGGCCACCGGGGGCGCGCCUGUUAUUCGUUUGCAGAGUCAGGGAGGUAGCCGUGUUGGUCUGACGCUGUACCUCUACAAACGAAAUAAUUUUUUUUAAAAAAUAAUCCAGUAGCACCUUAGAGACCAACUAAGUUUGUUCUAGGUAUAAGCUUUCGU
This 3567-nucleotide long non-coding RNA is filed under the name Podarcis lilfordi (Lilford's wall lizard). The record is from RNAcentral. Lineage: Eukaryota; Metazoa; Chordata; Lepidosauria; Squamata; Lacertidae.